This is a long non-coding RNA of Corticium candelabrum, 682 nucleotides long. RefSeq lists it as uncharacterized. The record is from RefSeq and is a predicted model, not a curated record. NCBI's taxonomy places the organism in Eukaryota, Metazoa, Porifera, Homoscleromorpha, Homosclerophorida, Plakinidae. The transcript is spliced from 3 exons.
UUUACCCCCAAUCUGUCGGAACUUGUUCAAAAGUUAAACCCGAUGUUGCUGAUGGAGCGUUUGCGCUCUUGUGGCGUUCUAACCGCAGAAGAUUGCAGUAGCCUGCGAAAUGGCUGUUCCACAGAGGAAGAGCGCUCUCGGAAACUCCUCCACGAUAUUUUGCCGCGCAGGGGAAACGAUGUAUUCAAUCACUUCUGUCGAAUCGUUCUUCCAGUUGAAGGACAGAAUCACAUUGUCACGCAAGUCAUGAAGGUUCCAUCUGCUCAUCGUGCUCGGGCGCAAGUACAACAUGUACAGCCAGAGGAGUCUCCCCUAGAGCUUGAAAGCAGUCAGCAGAUGUCUUGAUCAUGGAAGAAACAUUUAAUAGCUAUUGCUGCAAUAUCGGUUGCUUUGUUAGUCAGCUACAUUGGAUAUUGUAUCCAUGCUACCAAGUAUGAUGAACUGUCAAGUACAUGUUGGAAAUUUGUUCAAAAUGAAGCAUCAGAACUCUCUGAGAAACUACAUUUUACAAAUGAUAUGAAUGAUAUGCUAUUUUCUAACGAUUUUAUUGACGAAAGUCGUUCAAUGGAAAUACAUGAACGUUUGAGUGAGGCCAAAUGGACAAAUUUGGAUACUUACAAGUUGUUGAUGGCUGUCCUUCCAAAAUCUGACAAUGCAACAUACAUGAGGUUCUGUUGUUUAU